Molecule: long non-coding RNA, 937 nt
Filed under: Salmo salar (Atlantic salmon)
Lineage: Eukaryota; Metazoa; Chordata; Actinopteri; Salmoniformes; Salmonidae
Description: lncRNA (ENSSSAG00000087029.1)
Source: RNAcentral
GUGGUCAGGCAGGGAACACUGACACUGGAGCGCGUGUGCACGAGAGGACUCCAUUUUUUUCUUUCUCUCUUUGAACAAAUACAACGUCGCCCGGUUGGAAUAUUAUCGCUAUUUUAUGAGAAAAAUCGCAUAAAAAUUGGUUUUAAACAGCGUUUGACAUGCUUCGAAGUACGGUAAUGGAAUAUUUUGACAUUUCUUGUCACGAAAUGCGCCUGCGCGUCACCCUUCGGAUACUGACCUCAACGCACGAACAAAACGGAGCUAUUUCAAUAUAACUAUGGAUUAUUUCGAACCAAAACAACAUUUGUUGUUGAAGUAGAAGUCCUGGGAGUGCAUUCUGACGAAGAACAGCAAAGGUUUGAGGAGAGAGGGGAGACAGGAGGCGAAAAGGGGUUCCCGGUAGCGUUUUCAUCAAAGGCUUUUCCGUCAGCACUUCAGAGUGGCCGUCAGUAUGGAAAUGUGUUGUGCUGCCUGGAAAGCUGUCAGAGAACACAUAUCUUGGAUGGGACCCUGCUAAUUCAACUGGGCUCCUGUCGGCUAUGUUCUCUGGUCCCCUCAUUAUGCACUGUGAGAUGCGUUCUACAGAUAGAGACGUUUUGUUGCCAUGCUGUGAUCACAACACCACGUAUUGAUUGGAUACAAGGAGGACAUUUUCACAAAAGGCCUCCUGUUGCGAGCUCCCAGCUAAAUACUACAGAGAAUAUCUGUGACCUUUUAGCAGUAUCUUAAACCUUUCUGGAGGCAGCACCAAGGUGAGCUGAGGGGAACAGGGGAGCUCAGCUCCUCGGGGAGGGGGAGAGCAAAUUAAAGCUCACCUCAGGAACCGUGCCACCCCUGGCACUGUCCUGAUGCAACAGCUGCAGAUACAAAAACCAUCAUCUGACAUCCUGACACACGUCUGUGCCAGGUGGGUUGGGCGGGCUGGGUGUGCUGGGCA